RNAcentral lists this ribosomal RNA (301 nucleotides) under uncultured bacterium. RNAcentral's name for it is "partial 16S ribosomal RNA". It matches the Rfam family "Bacterial small subunit ribosomal RNA", at positions 509 to 807 of the family's 1533-position model. The record is from RNAcentral.
CAGCAGCCACGGGAACACGGAGGGAGCUAGCGUUGUUCGGAAUUACUGGGCGUAAAGCGCACGUAGGCGGUUAUUCAAGUCAGAGGUGAAAGCCCGGGGCUCAACCCCGGAACUGCCUUUGAAACUAGAUGACUGGAAUCUUGGAGAGGUCAGUGGAAUUCCGAGUGUAGAGGUGAAAUUCGUAGAUAUUCGGAAGAACACCAGUGGCGAAGGCGACUGACUGGACAAGUAUUGACGCUGAGGUGCGAAAGCGUGGGGAGCAAACAGGAUUAGAUACCCCCGUAGUCCCUGUCUCUUAUAC